CCUACGGGAGGCAGCAGUGAGGAAUAUUGGUCAAUGGACGAGAGUCUGAACCAGCCAAGUAGCGUGAAGGAUGACUGCCCUAUGGGUUGUAAACUUCUUUUAUAUGGGAAUAAAAUGUUCCACGUGUGGGAUUUUGUAUGUACCAUAUGAAUAAGGAUCGGCUAACUCCGUGCCAGCAGCCGCGGUAAUACGGAGGAUGCGAGCGUUAUCCGGAUUUAUUGGGUUUAAAGGGAGCGUAGGUGGAUUGUUAAGUCAGUUGUGAAAGUUUGCGGCUCAACCGUAAAAUUGCAGUUGAUACUGGCAGUCGUGAGUACAGUAGAGGUGGGCGGAAUUCGUGGUGUAGCGGUGAAAUGCUUAGAUAUCACGAAGAACUCCGAUUGCGAAGGCAGCUCACUGGACUGCAACUGACACUGAGGCUCGAAAGUGUGGGUAUCAAACAGGAUUAGAUACCCCAGUAGUC
RNAcentral lists this ribosomal RNA (460 nucleotides) under uncultured bacterium. Its description in RNAcentral is "partial 16S ribosomal RNA". It matches the Rfam family "Bacterial small subunit ribosomal RNA", at positions 338 to 795 of the family's 1533-position model. The record is from RNAcentral.